RNAcentral lists this transfer RNA (73 nucleotides) under Marmota monax (woodchuck). It matches the Rfam family "tRNA". Rfam says of the family: Transfer RNA (tRNA) molecules are approximately 80 nucleotides in length. The record is from Rfam by way of RNAcentral. Lineage: Eukaryota; Metazoa; Chordata; Mammalia; Rodentia; Sciuridae.
AGGGAUACAGCUCAGUUGGUAGAGUGCGUGCCUUGCUUGCACAAGGCCCUGGGUUCAAUCCCCAGCACCACUA